This 759-nucleotide ribosomal RNA is filed under the name Triticum aestivum (bread wheat). RNAcentral's name for it is "partial small subunit ribosomal RNA". The record is from RNAcentral. Lineage: Eukaryota; Viridiplantae; Streptophyta; Magnoliopsida; Poales; Poaceae.
AUGAAGCUGCAGCCGUUGAACCUAGAGCAGAUCUUCCACGAACCGCUCGCUGAGAUGGGCAUCGUGAACAAGCCAGUGAAUUACUAUUGGAAGACGAUGACGAAUAGCGAUGUCAAUACUAGCCGGGGGUGGUCUGUGCCCCGCGAUGUAGCUGAGCGCUUGUUCCCGCCUCUGGAUUUCACACAGACACAGCAGCAGGACCUAUUUGUGUGCGACAUUCAUGAUGUUCAAGCACUGGUGCCGAGGCAGAAAAUACCCCUCCCAGGUCCCAGCCCGCGUCACCCCAUUCUUUCUGUUUCUUACAUUGGCCUAAUGAGGUUUGCGUUUACAUCAUUUACUGAACAAUAUACCAUAAAAUCGAGCGAGGAUAGUCGACUCAAAGCUCAGCGAAUUGAGACUCUCAAGGAGGAAUCGGCGAGAAAUGCUGGUCAAACCUAUGUUCAUUAUUUUAGAAUGUAUGAGCGAACCAUUAUUAGGAGUCCACGAUGCUCUCUUCUGUUUGAAUACCACCACGCCGCUCUUGAGCGCCUCCUCCAUCCGUCACCGGUCGAUUGGCACAACGUCGAUGGCGUGCCUUGGGUAGUGGAGGGCAUGUGUGCUCUUGCUCGCCACGUCGAAGGGAUCGGCGCCCAGCUUGAAGAUCAUGGUGUUGCCGAAGCUCACGUUGAAGGAGACCGCCGAGAAGGAGACGGCCGGCUGGCAGUUGCCAUUUUCCGCGAGGACGCUGAGGGAGAGUCAGAUGUCCCGCAUCCUGCCUAG